ACUCCUCAAAACAAACAGGAAACAGAAUGCCAAUAGAUGGUCUUAUAUCUAACUCCUCAAAACAAACAAACAACAAACAAGAAACAGAAUGCCAAUACAUGGACUUAUAUCCGACUCCACACAAUAACAAACAACAAGGAAACAGAAUGCCAAUACAUGGACUUACAUCCGACUCCAAACGCUAACACACGCUAACCAGCGAACAACAAAGAAAAAGGUUCUCUGCACGAAC
RNAcentral lists this long non-coding RNA (232 nucleotides) under Lathyrus oleraceus (garden pea). RNAcentral's name for it is "Pisum sativum (pea) long non-coding RNA (PSAT_LNC037718)". The record is from RNAcentral. Lineage: Eukaryota; Viridiplantae; Streptophyta; Magnoliopsida; Fabales; Fabaceae.